Molecule: small RNA, 120 nt
Filed under: Streptomyces sp. MnatMP-M17
Lineage: Bacteria; Bacillati; Actinomycetota; Actinomycetes; Kitasatosporales; Streptomycetaceae
Description: Streptomyces-metH RNA
Rfam family: Streptomyces-metH RNA
Source: Rfam by way of RNAcentral
GCCGUCGGCCCGGCGAGAUCCACACCGCGGAGCGGCCCGCCCGGCUACGCUGGCCGGGUGCGCCUUCCAAUCAGAGGGCGCAAAGCCGACAGCCGUCGCAUCCCAGGGAGUACUUUCAUG